AAAUUGGUGGGGUUGUUUCGUAUGGCUGGAACGGCGGACGGGCGUUCCUGUCCUGGAAAGCUGAGCCACGGAUCAGAUAAGGAAGGACGUCAUUGGAAAGCUGAGCGGCGGCGGCGAUACUUCCGGCCACCCGGGGACAAGGAUAAUGGAGGAUGUGGGUAUGGAGUUUCUUCUCGUCGCCGUCGACAGAAACGAACCGUAGCGACCCCGAAGACUUAAAUGCUGGGUCUGGCUGCGGUCAUCGGCUCGGGGAAGAGUCUGCCGGCGUCGGAAAUCAUCACGGACUAGGUCGGCGCAGUCCACAUACAAAGUCAACCCCCAGGCCCCAGGAUGGACGAAAAGGUGCGAACCUCAAUCCCAUCCGACUGUAUUUAGAUCCGACAUAUGCAGCAAUAAUUGUUUGCAUACUGAGAAUAUGAUGUGCAUUGUUAAGUGAUUUGACUUUUUGAUCCUUGCUGGCAAAACAAAAGAAAUUUCAGUGCUAGUACUUUUGUUGUUCUAGUUUGCUGACGGCCGAAGAAAUUGAAUCAGCUGAGGUAGUGGAUGUGGCCGAAGAAAUUGAACCACCAUGGUCUCCGUGGGCGGGUUUGACUGAACCUGUUGAUUGUUGGGAGCCGGAGCUAUCUAGCCUGCUUGGUUGCCCUGGUGCACAUGGUGCCGGCCGACUUGCUGCUGAGCAUGGGCUAUCUGCUGAGGGCUCAUCCUCCUCAGGUAUGAGCGCUGAAAGUCGAAGAAGUGACACAGCCGAGCCUGCGGAAAAAUGCAGACCUAUAGACCGAAACUCAAUAUCAUGCCUGAAGCCUGCAAGAUGCAAGAACUGUGGUGUUCAAGGUCGCCUCCGCAACAGCUGCACCAGGCCUCGCCUCUGGGUGUUAUUGCAUCUUUGACUUGAAUUGCAUUUUCAGUAUGGUUCAGUUUGAGAAUUUUCUAGUGCGCCUUGCCUGCUUGUUAAUCUAGGUUGUACAAUGGCUUUGUGUUCAUCAGUUGCUGGAGUUGCCCCCCUGUCAAUAAAAAAAUGUAUGAGCGUCCAAGCUGGAGUUGUCCACGCAUCAGUUCGGUUUACCUGACGAUGAACACACGUGUGCAUCAGUUGUACAAUGGCUUUGUGUUCAUCAGUUGUACAAUGGAUUCAAAAUUCAAAAGUGCAGUGGUGGGCGGCGUAGUGGCGUGGCAUUGCAUAAGAUGACUGCUGGAUGCUGGGAUCAUGUUCGUGCUCUCGUGAGUGGUACUCUUCAAGCAGGGAUGGGGCCGGCGUGGAGCGUAUGGGCUGACUCGAGUGUUGAGGCGUCGGCGUCGGUGUCCAAAUGCAGUUCGCCCUCUCGAGCCUGCAUCUGCUCCUGAUCAGGCUAUUAAGAACUCAGCUGCGGGCUCGGACAGGACCGGCGCGCGAUGUCAGCGUCAGAUUCCGGGAACUGCAAUAUGCAUGAUCGCGAUGAAGGGGAUGGACAUGACGAUGGAGGAAGGAUUCAGGGAGCAUGACCCCGAUGCAGUCCGCGGGAGAGGAUAGUGGAUGUGUUGGAUGACCGCGGUGGAACAGGUCGGCCCAGAAAAGCAUCCGAUCCAUCGGGCCAGUUAUGUACCGCAUCGUCCGUCGGGUUCGGCCGGCAGUUAAUGAGCCAACCGCUCCUUUUCCAAUAUAAUGCAUAUACGCGUGCGACGUACGAAGAGAAAUACCAUCGAGGCUCACAUCCCAAAACGAACGAGCGUGUGUGAUUUCAGGAGCAUCUGUGCUCGGGAUCAGAAACGAAUUUUCGAAAUCAUA
Long non-coding RNA from Triticum aestivum (bread wheat), 1762 nucleotides. RefSeq lists it as uncharacterized. The record is from RefSeq and is a predicted model, not a curated record. NCBI's taxonomy places the organism in Eukaryota, Viridiplantae, Streptophyta, Magnoliopsida, Poales, Poaceae. The transcript has 4 exons.